CAAGAGACAUGGGAGAGCAUCAUUCCUUUGAGAUUUUAUAACUCAAACCAACUUUGGAGUUGUCUGAUUUGGAGUCAUUAUUCUUGGUCUUCGCUCUUAGAGGCCACUGAUGAAGAACAGGCGGUGACUGGGAUGAAUGCUGGUCAGAGAGGAGAAACUUUCCCCUAAACAGCGGUGGUUUUAAAGGAGGACGCUGCCCUGGAUGAUGUAGAAGAUGUCACAUGCUGUGCUGAUGGGGUUUCUUCAUGAUUACAUCAGUUAUGCUAAAGAGAUCAUGAAAAUUGACUGUGAUGCAUGAUCUGUAUUCAUGGACUAUGAAACAAACUGUAAGUGCAUAAUUUGUUUAAAAAAAAAAAAAGUUAAAUGCUUUUUCUGGGUUGUUUAGUAGAAGAGUUUACACUCUGUCAUUCAUACACCUGCUCACAUUCUUUCACACACACACACACACACACAUGCGUCUGUUAAAUGUUAUAAUAUCAAAGUUAAUGUUGUGAUUUAUUUGUGUACUGUCAUGCCAGAAUAGUUGGAAAAAAACCUAACUAAUUGUAAAUUUAUUGUAUGUGUUUUCGUAUAUUUGUAUACAAUAUAUACAAUUGAACAAAGUCCAAUUUGAUUUUAAGUUAUAUUCAUCAAAUGUUCAAUGCUUUAUGAAUUCUGUAGCUGUUAAUGCCAUCCUUU
Long non-coding RNA from Carassius gibelio (silver crucian carp), 678 nucleotides. RefSeq lists it as uncharacterized. The record is from RefSeq and is a predicted model, not a curated record. Lineage: Eukaryota; Metazoa; Chordata; Actinopteri; Cypriniformes; Cyprinidae. The transcript has 3 exons.